This 95-nucleotide transfer RNA is filed under the name Kitasatospora xanthocidica. RNAcentral's name for it is "tRNA-Leu". The record is from RNAcentral. Lineage: Bacteria; Bacillati; Actinomycetota; Actinomycetes; Kitasatosporales; Streptomycetaceae.
GACGCUGCUGGCCGGCGGACACUACGGCACCGGCCUCAAGGGCUGGAGCCGGCUGGUGAAGUUCCAGCAGGGCUGCUCCGCCGACCCGGCGGUGC